GACGAACGCUGGCGGCGUGGAUUAGGCAUGCAAGUCGAACGGUAUCAUCCUUUCGGGGGUGAGAGAGUGGCGAACUGGUGAGUAACACGUAGGUUAUCUACCCUCAAGACGGGGACAACCCAGGGAAACUUGGGCUAAUACCGGAUGUGAGCAACUUUUAGUUGUUUGAAAGGUGGCGUAAGCUGUCGCUUGGGGAUGAGCCUGCGUCCUAUUAGUUAGUUGGUGAGGUAACGGCUCACCUAGGCAAUGAUAGGUAGGCGGCCUUAACGGGUGGUCGCCCACACUGGGAUUGAGAUACGGCCCAGACUCCUACGGGAGGCAGCAGUCGAGAAUAGUCUACAAUGGUCGGAAGACUGAUAGUGCGACGCCGCGUGAACGAUGAAUCCCUUCGGGGUUAAAGUUCUUUUAUAUGUGAGCAGUGCUUCUUAUAUUAACAGUAUGGGGAAGAGAUAUUAGCAUAUGAAAUAAGCAACGGCUAACUCCGUGCCAGCAAGCCGCGGU
RNAcentral lists this ribosomal RNA (501 nucleotides) under uncultured bacterium. Its description in RNAcentral is "bacterial SSU rRNA". It matches the Rfam family "Bacterial small subunit ribosomal RNA", at positions 28 to 521 of the family's 1533-position model. The record is from RNAcentral.